AGGUUUAUACAGUUCAGAUGAGGAAAUUCCAUAAGCCUAACUCUAUGGACCUGAAUUUGGAAACUAAACUUCCUGCGGUUUUGGAGGAGCGAGGUUGGAAUUCUGUGGGUACGCGGUUAAAAUGCGUCGAAAUCUAGAGGGAUGACUCUGGCGAAAGCGGCCCUGCUGGACAAAACCUGACGAUGAGGUGCGAAAGCGCGGGGGAGCACACAGGAUUAGAUCCCCUGGUAGUCCAUGCUGUAAACGAUGUCGACUUGGAGGUUGUUUCCUUGAGAAGUGGCCUCCGAAGCUAACGCAUUGAGUCGCCCGCCUGGGGAGUACGGCCGCAAGGCUAAACUCAAAUGAAUUGACGGGGGCCCGCACAAGCGGUGGAGCAUGUGGUUUAAUUCGAUGCAACGCGACGAACCUUACCUGGUCUUGACAUCCACAAAAUUUUUUAGAGAUAAAAAAGUGCCUUUACCGGUAAUUAUGAGACAGGUGCUGCAUGGCCGUCGUCAGCUCGUGUUGUGAAAUGUUGGGUUAAGUUCCGCAACGAGCGCAACCCUUGUUCUCUGUUGCCAUCAGGUUAUGCUGGGACCUCAGAGGAGACUGCCGGUUAUAAGCUGGAGGAAGGUGGGGACGACGUCAAGUCAUCAUGGCCCUUACGACCAGGGCUACACACGUGCUACAAUGGCAUAUACAAAGAGAAGCAAAUCUGCGAAGACAAGCAAAACUCAUAAAGUAUGUCUUAGUUCGGACUGGAGUCUGCAACUCGACUCCCCGAAGUCGGAAUCGCUAGUAAUCGUGGAUCAGAAUGCCACGGUGAAUACGUUCCCCGGCCCCGCUCACGCCGCCCGUC
RNAcentral lists this ribosomal RNA (838 nucleotides) under uncultured bacterium. Its description in RNAcentral is "bacterial SSU rRNA". It matches the Rfam family "Bacterial small subunit ribosomal RNA", at positions 577 to 1398 of the family's 1533-position model. The record is from RNAcentral.